GAUGAAGAACGUAGCGAAAUGCGAUAAGUAAUGUGAAUUGCAGAAUUCCGUGAAUCAUCGAAUCUUUGAACGCACAUUGCGCCCCCUGGCAUUCCGGGGGGCAUGCCUGUCCGAGCGUCAUUUCUGCCCUCCAGCCCGGCUGGGUGUUGGGCGCUGUCCCCCCGGGGACACGCCUCAAAGGCAGUGGCGGCGCCGCGUCGGGUCCUCGAGCGUAUGGGGCUUUGUCACCCGCUCGGGACGGACUCGUCGGCGCUGGUCUUCCUCCAGGCGACCCUUCGGGGCUCGUCUUCCUUCGGUUGACCUCGGAUCAGGUAGGGUUACCCGCUGAACUUAAGCAUAUCAAUAAGCGGAGGA
This 354-nucleotide unclassified non-coding RNA is filed under the name soil metagenome. RNAcentral's name for it is "partial contains 5.8S ribosomal RNA, internal transcribed spacer 2, and large subunit ribosomal RNA". The stretch from base 1 to 120 matches the Rfam family "5.8S ribosomal RNA", at positions 35 to 154 of the family's 154-position model. The record is from RNAcentral.